GGAAGGUUAGUCUAACUGGCAAGGCAGCGGUCUAGAAAACAGCCGGGCGCAAGUCCCAUACAGGUUCGAGCCCUGUACCUUCCGCCA
This 87-nucleotide transfer RNA is filed under the name Acidobacteriota bacterium. RNAcentral describes it as "Acidobacteria bacterium (activated sludge metagenome) tRNA-Ser". It matches the Rfam family "tRNA". Rfam says of the family: Transfer RNA (tRNA) molecules are approximately 80 nucleotides in length. Their secondary structure includes four short double-helical elements and three loops (D, anti-codon, and T loops). Lineage: Bacteria; Pseudomonadati; Acidobacteriota. The record is from RNAcentral.